Zonotrichia albicollis (white-throated sparrow) is the source of this 14682-nucleotide non-coding RNA. The record is from RefSeq and is a predicted model, not a curated record. NCBI's taxonomy places the organism in Eukaryota, Metazoa, Chordata, Aves, Passeriformes, Passerellidae.
AUGAAAUAUUGCAUUAUAAAUUAUUAUUGUAUUAUUAAUUUAUUACUAAAUUCCAGAAAAAUACCUACAUGAACAUCACGUUUCUCAGUUGGCAAUUUGGCAUUUUCAAGUGCUUCUGUAACCUGAUCCAAGGCUUUCUGUACUUUCCUCUCAGCCUUCCCUUUGUUGCUUACCCGUGUGCUUUGCCCAGUCUGUUCUGGGUACCUGCCUAUGGAUUUUGGAUGCCUUGCUAAGUUUAGGAAUGGCUGAGAGUGUAACAGAGGGCAACGUGGGCAGGAUCCCACAUGGAAUUCAUUCUGCCAAGUGCUCCUUCCUCAUCAAAAUUCUGACUCUGAACAGCACUGUAGCCCUGUGGCUCUGCUGGGAUCAUCAGCUGCUGCUUCUUGGAGUCAAGCAGCAAACAGGAAAAGCCAGCUUUGCCAGCUGCUUUAUUGCUACUGUACAGCACAGGUGACCACAUGAAGGGACCUUUCCCUUGUUCAAAGGGCUUUCUGUUGCUAACACUGCACUGCCUGUGGCAUGCAGUCACUGAGCUGGAAACCUGUCCUGGCAGAGACACUCCUAACAGUACAUUUCAUUUUCUCCCUGUCACAAUAGGCAGCACCUCUGGACCUUACCAGCAUGUCCAGGACUAAGACAUAACUGGCUGCUUGUGCUCCAGAACAGUAAUAAGAUUUGCAGGAAAUAAGGAUAAAGCUUGUAGGGACUCUAUGACCUUGUUCUCUGUUACAAAUAGAUUAAGAGGUUCCAAAAAUAAAAGUUUAAGAAGCAAUACUCUUAUAGUCUUAAAUUAUCUCUAGGAGUCAAGAGCUACACAAGUUAAAAAAAAAAAAAUCCUUCCGGUCUGUUGUGUUUAUGUCAGGUUAAAUAUACAUAUUCCUAUGGAACUAAAUCUGUAAGUGCUACAAAAAUACCCAAAACAAGACCUCAGCUCUGCUGCUUAUCUUCCAGCAUUUCUAUUAUUUCAAGAGCCUAUAGAGCCCAGCCUGGAACAGAAUGAUUUGUCUCGGAGAUCCAAACCAACUGGAAAGUUAAAAAUUGGCUGAUUUAACUUUUCUCACAGUCCACACAAUGUAAAGUAUUUUAUUCACAAGAAUAUGUUUAUAAAUGUCCAUGAGAACUGGGAUGGGUGUGUGUGUGUGAGAGGAUGACAAUGUUCUCUCUUCUCCCAUAGUAGCAGAAAUAGUUCAUUUUUAUACCACCGAGCACCAUUCAAGAAUGUCUCCUUGCUGGAGAUACCAUUUGCUACCACACCUCACUGAAAUCCAGGAGGGAAAUAGAGCAGGCCUAAGGGUUGGCACAAAAACUCAGAGGUUUCCACAAACAGAAUUUCAUGAAAAGCACUCCAUUCUACAUUUCCUACGUUUCAAGUCAAGGGGGAAAAUAUAAACAUUUAAAACAUAUCAGCUUUUGUGCCUUCUAAGUAUCUACAUCAGGAGCCUUACAUUAAAAGCUGAACAACCUACAUUUGGGAAGAAAUCAAGCCACAACAGGAAAAGGAGGAAACCCAAGAGUACUGCCAAUUCUUUUGCAGGAUCAGGCCAGAGUGACCCCUGCAGGUGUCCUGGCCAGAGUGAUAUCCUGCAGAUAGGUGGUUAAAUGGCAAGCUACAACCUCUUAACUAUGCCAUUUUUAACGCACAAGUUCCUCAUUUUCCAGGGAACAGAAAAAAAAAAGACCUCUAACAAACCAAGCAACAGACUCAAGUUAUAUUUUAUCUCUUCCUUCAAACUAAACUGACUGAACUUCUGUCCUGGGGUAGUGAACUCACAAAACCACCAGCAUUAGCUGUAUCAUUCAAACUGAACAUUGGCAUAAAUAAAUACAAGGAAAUCAAAUUUAUUUUGGAUGGCUGAACUAUCUUAAAAAAAUGAGAAUGCAAGCAUUUUAUAGAUCCUUAUUGGUUGAUAUUGAGAUUACACAGAAUAUAGAGUGAUAUAUCUUGAGAAAUUACUUACUAUUAACACCUUUCCAGCAGCACAAAAAGGCAGUAUUUGUUUCUACAUAAUGCCACCUGCCGGUAUUCAUCUUUUGCUUCUACUCCCAAACUUGGAAAACAGAUCCCAGGGAGCUGAAAGAGCCUUUGGUUUCCCAUCUGCAUUUCACAGAGUACAGUGGGAUUCUGAGCAGAUGUAGUAGCUACCUGCCAUUUGGAAACUGAACAAGGAUGCUGGUUGAUUAGAAACACAAUGGAAAGGCAGGCAAAGAUGUCAACCUUCCAGACAUUACAGAAGACAGAGACGAAAUACAAAUAAACAAAGACUUAAUGUCUAACUCCUCAGACAAACACACUGAAGUUAGCAGCAUGUGUUUGGAAAACACAAAUGCAACUUUCAGACAUUCUAGUUACAGAGAAUGAAACUGGCUAUUUUAAUUAUUUAUUUACGCACCAGUUCUAUUAUGUGUUGCUCAGUAGAGACAUUUGCAUAAUUUAAAACUAGUCUAGCUUAAAGUUAUAGAUACCAAACCAUUCCCAUAUAGCUUAGAUAUGACUGAGCAAAAUACUGUUGGCCAGCUCUCCUCUCCUCCCUCUCCAUAUCUGCUACCAUUGGAAUGGCUACGUUUGUGGAUAGCAGUUUUUCACAGUAUCACUGAGCUGACAGACACACCACACACAAAAUAUUCCCCACUGGCUGUUUCCAAAUAGCCUGGCCUGACUCCAGUCACUGCACCCCAUGAAUUGUGCCUGCCUAAAGAGCUGCAUGCUUUGGAGAAGUCUGCAGCUUAUGGGGCUGACCCAGGAGCCAAGGCCUUAACUUGGAAAACCCUUUGACAGACUUUUAUCACCAAUGUCCUCAAACAGAGAGGAAAUGCAAGAACAAGCAUUGAAAACCACAAAUGCUUAUCAUGCCUGUUGAGGAAACAAACUUUAAAAAAAAAAGCUUACAACUGUAUAAUGAGUCUUAAUGACUGAUGAAUUCAGCUGAAUAAGGAUUCCUGGAUCUGUGUUUUUAACUCCUCCUUGGGAUUAGGAAAAAUAGGUAUUUUAUCAGUUGACCACACUGACAAGUUAUUCUUAACACCUCAGCACAAAACACAGUAGUGAUAUUCUCUCAUGCUUAAGAAGAACCCCAUUCUUACUUUCAUCAGCUCUUCACAAGAAUGCUACAGUCACACCAUGGGGGCCACUGAGCAGACGACGUGAGACUGGGACAGAAGCACUUAAAACUGAGAGCUAGACCAGCAGAUAUAGCUCUAGUGCAACAAAGGUUGCAUUUUCUAAGCAUCUCUCAAACUAAACCCUCACAUCUGGUACAAUGAGGUAGACAAAAGUUACUACAUCUUCAUUUAAAUUUCCUUAACUCCCAGCGCACAUCUUACACCAACACAUUCUUUAUGUUCCUACCUGUGCUGCAUGUGCAUUAUACAAUAUUUUGAAACGGUAUCAAAGCCUGCUGUCAGUGCUUCUUUCUAUCAUGACACAUUUUAAAAAAACCAAACACUUCAUAGAGUUGAACUUUUGGAAAAACUGUUUUGCACUAUCUUAAGUUGCAAAUACAAUAAAAUCCAGAGUAAGCACAUCAUAGCUCAAAAAAGCCAAAGCAAUCCCUGGAUAUAUUCACUACUGAAGAGAGACUAUAUCAUCUCUGAUUAUGACAUUAGCAAAACUGAGGUUAGAAAACUCCACCCAGCUCUGAUAUUUACAAUUCAGGCAGUUGAAGAACUGGAAAAGACAUUAAAGAAAAGGUCAUAUUUAGAAAAACUGAGUUCUGUAAGGAACCUCUUUAUUUGUAGCAUUUAUGCAAGAAAAAUGAAAAGUAAAGUCAACAAAGUCAUAGAGAAAGCACACUAGGCAUUGUGGGCUUUUCAAUAAAAUAGGAGAAAGACUUCAAAAAAAGCAAUGCCUGCAAAUUAGGACAACUCAAAUUCCAAUUUAAAAAUAUAGCAAGUGUUUUUAAUGAGACUGAUUUACAGUUUGAAUACAUUACUAGCAGUGGUGGCAGGGUCACUCUUUCAAAUCAAGUCUGGGACCUCUCAGAUAUCCUGACCUGGCCCUAAACACUUCCAAGGACGGGCACCCACAAUUUCUCUGGGCAGCCUGUUCCACUGCCUUACUAUCCUCUGAGUCAAAAAUUUCCUCCUGACAUCUAAUCUAAGCAUCCCCUAUUUUAAUUUAAAACCAUUCCCCCUUGUCCUAUCAUGAUCUGCUCCUGUAAGAAGUUGUUCUCCACCUUUUUUUGAAGCUCUCUUUAAGUACUGAAAGGCCACAAUGGGAAGAAAUACUAUUUCCUCACCUGUUUUUUGUAUGGAAAGUUAGAUUUACAGUUACAUUUCCAGUUUUAUGAGUUCUGGUAUUUAAUACACAGAUAACUUCAAGCAUAUUAAUACAUUUUAUGGGGAUUUACAAGUUACAAUACAAAACUGUGUACUGGGUUCUGCUUUGAGCACGUAUAACCCAUCAUACAUUUGUCAGCUGGUAUGUUAUGCUUCUUACUGUCAAAGUGACAUAUACAGGAAGGUUCAUUUAUUAAAACUGUAACUGAACAUAUAGAGCCCUGGCUGACCAUCAGAAAGUAACAAAACCCAAAAAAACAAAACCCAAAAAAAGCUGCUGUGGCUGUGCUGCGUUAACUCUGCAGGUAGAACAGCACAGUCCCUUCAGCAUGGAGAUGGCUCUGUCAAAAGUAUCAUUUCAAUACCCCAUGCACAGGACUGCUUUCACAACUCAAGCCAUUAGAUAAAAACAAAAUUUAAAAAAAUCCAACAGCCCUCCAACAUGGCUACUCUAAUAAAAUAUAAAGCACAAAAUAAGUAAGCCUUGUGCUGCAUACUAAGGCUUGGCCACUAAUAGGUUCUUCCACAUCACAAAAAACCCAGGACCUCUUCUCCCAAACCCACAUUUCUGUGUUUAUGCUACUCUACCUAACUUCCUCCUUCGCAUGCAGCCUGGGAAUUCUACCUUUGAUCAAUCCUAGCUGAACUAAGAUUUCAUCUGACAAGUUAUUCUGCAGAUGGCUUUUGAAAGGGAUGACACUUUGAUUUACUGGGUAGAUAAACAAGGAAAUAACACAUCUGCACAGACAGCCAAAGGCUGCAGUCCCACAUACAGUAGUGCAUGGAUGGCCUACUGAAGAUAACUUAAGUUGAACAUAAUCAAAUUAUAUCAAUGAAGGCUUUUUAUCAGAAUGAAGGAGGCAUUCUUGACUUUACCUUGGUGGAACAGGUCCUGCUUCCAGUGUAAAUACAGUAGUGUAUAGACACACGUCAAGGAACACAAUAUUCUUCAGUGUUUUUAAACACUAGGGUGCUUUUGCUGCAUGCUUCCUCACAAAAGUAAGGCUGACAGUAUGGGUAUUGUCGUGUACAGCAAACUUCUGUUUCACACAUAAGUGUAAGAGUUCUACCCUGCCACCUAAAACACACCUAAAUAAUGAGAUUGUUCAUUUAUUGAUGAGGUUUGAGACUUGGUGGAAGAUAUGACACAGAAAGUAAAUAAAUUAUUUCAAAUGUUAUUACCUGUGUAAUUUUAAAGAAAAAAACCUCAUCAGUUGCUUAUUUCCUGCUUGCUCAAGUCUCACAAAUCCCCUAGCAGUUCAGAUUUGUAAGUAAUAAGGAUUUCAGGCUUAUCAUGGUUUCUAAAUACAGGCACAUGACUCCUUUAUUCCACCUUCAGCUUAACAGGACAGUGCAUGCUUAAUUCCUAGGUAUAUUCAACUGACCUCCAAUGCUCAAGCAUUAGUGCUUUCAUUGUGGCUGGGGGUAAACAGCAGAACAUGAUGCAGUCCCAUAUUUCAAAGCUCUUAAUUGUUCAGCUGACCAGCAGAAUGCUCCUGUCUCUGAGUGCCAGAUGUGAUGUUGGAGGCCAAGGGGCACACCACUAUGCUUCAAAUGCAAUCACAGAGGAACUCCAUGGCUGAGUGAGAAUCCUGCCAACUCACACACCUGUAGCUGAGAGCUGCCAGAGGAAGAUAAAGAAGCAGCCCAGAACUGAUCAAUCUGCUGAAAUUUUCUGGGUUGAUGGUACUAUAAAAAUAAAGCUCAGUUGUCAACAACAACUUUGCAAACAUGGUGUCAUGCAUGUCACACAUAGCCAUAAAAGGAGCUUUCCACACCAAAAGCACAUGCUUGAGGUGCUCAAAUCUCUCUGAAAGGAAAUGCUUUUCAUCACAACACUCCCCAUCUUAGGCUGCAAAUUCAGCUCAGUUUAGGUCUAGCAGUGUUUUCUACCUGCACAGCUAAAUAAAAACACUUCCUGUGAAGAGGUCCACUCCCUUUGGAGAUGCAGAUCUGAAAAGAUGCAGCUGUCAAGCCAGUUCUGCAUUCAGAGGUUCCCUGGCAAUACCCAAUUAGGCUAUUUAAAUAAAUUCAGCCACAAGAACAAAAUAAAUACAGGCUCAACUGCAAUUAAAAGCAAACAGUCUAAACAGAAAUACUUUACAGCUUAGUACAGCCUUCUGCAUUUCCCAAGUGGUCCUUCCCUUCGAACCUGGAAGUCUGUAUGAUGGGACUCAAAAGAUUGUUAUAACAUGAAUCACUCAAAAGAGAAGGAUAUUCAAGAGUUUGAUACAUAGCUAUGAUGCCAUUCAGUUCACAUAUUCUUGUCUCUUACCCUGCUUAAUCUCUUGUGCAGGCUGGGAGUCUCUGGCUGAUAUAGCUGUGAGCCAGAGAGCUGCACAAAGAUGGGAGAUAUCUGCUCUCUCAGCGUGCAGCCACCUGCCUUAGCCAGCAGGCACUGCACUGCACACCACUGGCACCCUGCUUUGCACCCUGUGCACUCACAGCUAAUGCCAGCUACUUCACCGCAGCCUACUGCUUUAGUGACCAUUUCAUCAUUCAAAACUCUGCUCUUUUCAUGUUUUUUAAACAACCAGGCAGUACACAUGGGUAAAAACAUUUCAGUAGAGGCCGCUAAAAAGUAAUGAGACUGAAGGAAGAUUGUUAUUGCUGCUAAAAAGUAAUGAGACUGAUUCUUGAAGAAUGCUACACCUCAUUUAAGAUUUUUAUUAAGAACAUUAAGAGAAAAAUAAAAAGCUGGUAUUUAUUGGCAACACUAAACCCAUGUCAAUAAACAAAGCACAACCAAGUAACGGUGGAAAGACUGGAGUAAGAGAUGUGAUGACAUUGAAAACAACAAGAACGUGCAAAUAAUAAACUUCAGCAAAAAGGUGUUAUGAAUUCCUAAAUGCUGUGGGAAAAACUUCUGUUGACAGUAAGAGAGAAGGAACAGCACAUGCAUUAUGAUGGAGAUCACAAAUCAAAACCAGAGUGCCACUUGGGAAAAAAGGCAGGGGAAAUCCUACAGCUUUUCUCUCUUAAGGAAAACAUUUUCCACUGUGAAAAGAGCCACUGCACAAGGCACUAGCUGAUUCUCCACCAGAAAAUAAAAGUGUGCUGUUGUGAUCAGGUUUACAAAAAUAAAAACUGAAAAAAAUCAAACUGGAACAAGCACACAGAAUAAUUAUUAGGCUAAAACAGGAACAAAGAAAAGUUUCACACAAGAGAGGAGUUUGACUGAAGGGCCAUAGCCAUACAAAAAACCUCCAGUAUUACUUGACUGCAUCCUACAAAUACAUAAAAAGUAGGCACAAAAGAGAGGGGGACUUUUCUCAUCCCCAAAAGUCGGCAUUGACACUAGAAUAAAAGGAUAUCAAGUUGGCCAUGAAUGGGGUAGUGCAGAACUCAUGAGACCUCUGUUAAACACAGCAGAAAUACUCUACAGCUACUUUUCAGUAAGAGUAACUCCUUCUAAUAGUCCAGUAGAUUUGUUAGAGUAUACACUGAUAUACACAAUUGCUUCCAGAAAACCAGUGAAGGUGGAAGGGAGGAUUAUUCUUGUAUAUGUAAGCACAACUGUCAUGCUAAAAUGAGACCAAGUUGUUGAGUUUUUCUUCUCAUAAGCUCACCAUUUAACCACAAAUAUGUAAAAUAUGACAAGUAUACUCCUUUACUUACAUACUGAGGAACCACAGUUAAAAGGUCCUACCUACCCAAUGCUUUCUAAAUCGAUCUCCCCACUCUUUCCUUAACAGCACAGAAAAAUCCCCAGAACUUCUCAACGAGGAUCAGAGUGAUGAACAGAACAGAAACAUCAGAGCUAUGCUGUGUACAAAUUGCAGGCAUAUCCAUUCUGAGCUAGAAUUGAAUCUAUACUGCUUCUUGUGGGCAAUGCUGUCUGCUCCAGCCAUCUGUCUGAAUGAGCCUGGGAAUAAAAACAACUUGGUAACACCAAAACUUCAGGAAACUUUACAGUACUUGACAGUGACAACAGAAGCUUUCUUGAGCUGCCAUCAAAGCAAUAUCAGGUGCAAGAUCAUCAAGAAUGGGAGUGGUUUUUGAUAACCAAGCAGCAGAGCACAUUCCCACAUGCCUCAAGCCCAGCUUAAUCAAGUAAGGAGUAUGUAAUUAUUACUGACAUUUCCAACCAUUAACUUCUUUCAGACCAAAUAUUAAUAGUAGGAUUCAUCUCUCCUUAUAAAGGUCUAAAAACUAGACAUGCAAAUUUGAGCUAGUCACCCCAAAACAGUCCUUAACUGUUGGAAAAAAACAGAGAGAGGUAAUUUUUUGCCUGCUUCACUCCAUAAAGGGAAAACCCAAGGUCACUGGCACAGAGCUGUGCAUUUGAUCUUUAAAUAGAAUUUUUCUCUCCAACUUAACCGUCUAAAAGUAACUGUGCAGAUUUUCAAAACUCAAGAGUUAUUAAUAAAAUAUGAGUAGUUGUUUGGGUUAUAUUUAACAACAAAUUGGGUUAAAGUUAAAAACAAACUUCAGUAACAGCACUUCUGUACAGAUCUUCAUGUCCUAAGAAUUAUCACUUUUUAUCAGCCUUUUCCAGCAUAAAGGAAGAAGUCUGUUACAGCUUUGACACAAAGUUCAGCUAUAGGCAACCAAAGGAAAGGAAGAAAGCUCCCCAAAAUCAUGAUUAGUGUAGUGGAAGUCACACACAUGACAAAGUUAUCACACUAAUUGCUAUUUCUUCCUUUUAAAGGGAACAAAUCAUUUGCAGGAAAAUAUUUCACUUCACCUUUCAUGUGUAUGAGAAGAAAAACACGAAGAAAAAGACAAUUUUUGAGAGGACCUGAACAACAGAUUGUUGCAGGAUAAAUAAAUUUCUUUUGUUUCUUCUAGGUAGGAAGAUUAUGUGGCAUAGUAUUUGCAUAAUCAGAAUUUAUUCUUUAUUAAAGCAGAUGUGGAAUGUUACAGAAAAGAUUAAUGCUGAAUUUUAGCCAUGGCUCUUCUCCCCAGGUAUGCAGAGAAAGGGUGAGGGGAGAGUAAGAAAAGUGCAUCACAUACAAAGCAGGGACUACUCAAACUGAACUCAUCAGUAAUUUCACAGCCUGCAAUUGAGAGAAUCAGCUGCAACUUGUUUUCUGAUUGCAGAGCAUGUUUUUCCCCACUGGAAAGGACUGGGGGAAGCCUUCCCUAGUUUUAUGAAGGAUUUAAAACUAUAUUUAGUAAAAAUAUUUUAGUUUAGGGUAAGGGGAUGGAGAGAAAAAACAAGAUACAAGAGCUAAAAAGCUUUACCCUUAAUAGAAGAUAUGGAGCAUGGUCUUACAGGACUUUGUGUGCCAGAUUAUUCCUUUGAGCACAAGAGCAGAGGAUCCCAUUCCCUCUCCAUCCUGCCCUUUCUGCUCCAUUUGCAUGAUCUCCCUCCUCCCCCUCCAGUUCUGAGGCUCCUCUGACUCAAGAUGAGGAACUCAGCCCUCCACAGGCACACACAGGCCAAUGUUUUACCAUGGUGCAAGAUGAGGGUCAGAGAUGACUUGAGGCAAAUGGAAGGAGCAGGCAAGGACUGUUCUUUUGGCUUCACCACUUACAUCCACUUUAAUCCAUCUGUUCCAGAGGAGACAUACAAACACCUCCUUCUCAUGCUCUGCACAGCCUACCCUCUGACCUACUGUCCAUUAAUUUACUUUGCUCUUAAUAGACAUUACUGUCCAAAGGAACACAGCCUCAAACUAGUACAGUUUUAGGAAAAAAAAUCUGGGUUCUUUUCAACCAGCAAAAUGAACAUUAGAAUCUUACAUUGCUACAUAAAUCCCAAAAUUAUGGCUAUCUUCUCACGUGCAGAUCUGCUGCUUAUAAGUAAACUAGGUAUGGGAGCACAGAACCAGGAAGGAGGUAACAAUGAAAAGAUGAGCAACUCUUUUGUUGUAAAUUCAGAUUAAAUCCCAAUAGCAAUUUUGUUUACAAUCUUUCUGCUCUCUGAGCUGGCCGUUUUAUGCUGCUAUAAAACAAAAACAACCACCAGCUUUCCUGCUGAUUUAUCUCUGUGCAGCAACCAUGAGAAGACCACUGGAUCCUUUCUUCCCUCUCAUGAGUCUGCAGUAUUUCAACCUCAUUCAGCAACACAAACAGGCAGAAUACAUUAGCCUCAGUUUAUAAAAUAGAUGUCUAUUUUGGUACCAAGAACCACAGUCAUUGAUGCUAUUUCUGGAGCAGAGAGAUUUGAAAGCACAGUCCAGAACAAUAAUGCUUUUAGAAAGUCUCAUGCUUUUCCUACUUAGGGUACUUCAGAAGUCAUGCAUCUACAAGACAACCUUCACACUGCUAUCUCAUCCUUCGUUUUUGUCCUGAUCCCAGCCAGGACAGAGUCAAUUUCUGCAGUAGUUGGGAGGACAGGGCCUGGAGGUUGUUCUGUGCCACCUGAACAACGCCAGGGGCCUGGCAAAGGGACUGUCUUCCAGGGAGAAGGGGUUCCAUACAGUUGAGAAAGUUGCAGAGGGAGUCACCUGGCAUUGUCUAUUAUCCUUUGUUUUCUUUCUGUGUGAAUUGAUUUAUAUACCUUUUGUUAUUAAUAUUGUUGCUGUUACUGUUCAUUUUCUUAUCUCAUUGCUGUUUCCAGUAAAUUGUUCUUAUCCCAGCCCAUGAUCUUUGCAUUUUGUCCCUCCAGCUGGAGGCGGGGGGAGGAAAUGGCACAUGCGCUUAGUGGGAGUGCUAAAUUGAAGAAUUCAUUUCCGAAACCAUGGCACCUUUACUUUCAUAUCCUGGGUACUUCCCAUUCCAAGACACAGGUGGUCAGUAAAUUACACAAGUAUUUUUAUAACUAACAUAUCCUACUCCACUUAAGUUCAUUUUUUGCCACUGCUACAUCUGCAAUGCACAUCUGCUCUGAAGAGCUUCCAGGCAGGUGAUCUUUUCUUUUUUUUACGUAGUAGAGAGCAGAGCAAAAAUUCAAUUGUCAACUACAAGCACUCAAAAACUCCAUUGCAAAUAAUGAGGUUAGGCCAUAAACUGCAACUUGUAAAAACAGUAUACUUAAAGGGUGUUUUAUAUUUGUUAUAACUGGGUGUUUAGCAGUCAUCCUCAAGCUUUUUUCUGCCAUACCUGGAACUAUAAAUUGUUUUGGAGGCUUGGGGGGUUUGUUUGUUUUAAGUUAAGGCCAAGUUUUUCAUUAACUAAAGUCAGAAAAGCUGACCCUCACAACCCCACUACCAAGCAACAGUUCAAGAGCUUUUAGCAAUCAAGAAAGCCAACGGGGUUAGGAUUUCCUACAAAGGAAGAAAUUUACCACUGUAUAAAUCUGAGAAGCACAUGCAUAAAUUCCAGCCCCUUCAUCUCCAAAAGAUAAUACCAGAAUUAGAGAAAUUACAGAAAUAAUGGCAACAAGGAAAACCACAGAUACAAAAUGGCUACCUUAUAUAGCAUGAACCCAGGUGGAUAAAAGCUACUUAGUUUAGAGGGAGAUGAUUAGCAGCAUUGAGACUGCACAAAUCUGCAAAAUUAUGUGCAAAUUUUUUAAAUUUUUUCCCAUCCAGCAUUAUUAGGUACAAACAUGUAGCAUGUCUUGGCAACUCUCAAAAUAGCAGACAAUUGGAGACUAGGAAAAACAUUCUGAGGAAGUGUCACUACACACUUUACUCCUCCAGUUCUUCCUUCAGCUGUUCUAGUAGACCAAAGACUACAAGGCAGCUGUUUGGAUACAACCUGUCAGGGCUCCUCUAACAGAGAGCCACAAGAGCUGACAAGGCUCUUCCCCUUCCUCUUGCAUGGCUACAUGCUUUAAACUCACCUGAAAAUUCCCAACUUCCGCUCACAAUUUCAGAGAUGCUUCAGAGAAAGCUUCUUAGUGCUUUGAUAGUAAAAUAUUCCCUGUCUCCAGUGAAAUGGCAAUGACCAUUGUUUGAAAUACUGUCAGCACAGCUCAAACUCUGGGACUGACUGGUAAGUAUAACAUUGUAGGCUUCACAGCACCUACAAUUCCUCCUCAUUAAAUGAAAGAAUGGAAACACAGAUUAGCUGCAUGUACAUGCCUGAACACUUGCAGACACAGACACACUUCUGUCCAAUAGCAUGUUUUUCAGUGGAGAGAAAGGAUGAGAUACAAGAGCUAAAAUUCAGAACAGCCCAGCCUAAAGGAAGCUUCCCCCAAGGAAGCUGCAACUUACAAUCCAGUCUUUCUGCACCCAGCAUGUCGCCUCUCCAUUGGAAGGACAGCCACGUCUAUCUUACAAUAUCAUUUGUCCUACUAAGUUUUCAUAGAAUAGGGCAUGUAAAACAAAGUGUUGCUGGAAUGCAUGCCCUUCUAAAUGUGUACAUAAACUAAGACAUUAAAAUUUAGACACCUGCAUUAUUUUAGCUCUUUCUUAAUGGUUAGAGUAAGAAGCUUGUUCCCUCCUACAUUUUUCUUAAUAAACAAAAAUGUUCAAAGAGCAAUUACCAUAUAAAACAAAGUAGCAACAAAGCUCAUCAGAUCAGAAUCAGGAAGUUAAAGGGCAAAACUGGUGAAAGAACAGAUUACAGAUUUAAUUAGCUGAAAGACUUCCGUUGCUAUAAAGAAAAAUCUGAUUAGUAAAAGAUUAGACCAUUUCUUCACACAGCCUACCUGCCCUUUUUAACUUGAUUAUACCACAUCAAAGACUUUCCCAUAUGAAAACUAGUUUCAAACAUACAUUAAAAUUGUUUGCAGCUUCUGGGUAUGGGGAAGAGAGAGGACACAUUGGCUCUUAUACAUUUUUAAAUUGAAUUUGAAAUAAAGUCUUUGGUUGGCUUUGUCCACCUGCCCCUCCCCCAGGAAAAAAGAAAAAGUGUGAUUGCUGUUCUCUUGUUUAUAAACCCCAGCACUGUGCUGGGCUGUAAUUUCACAGCUAUGGGAAUAAAUACCACACUGUUGCCUGAAAAUCCUGGAAACUGCAAAUAUGAAAGCAAACAGCAGUACAAUGCCACAUCUUACCUUGCUUUAUUAUUAAAAGCAACUACAGUAAUGGGAGAACAACACUUGAAGAAAGAAAAUCAAAGUCAGGCAACAAUUCACACUGAAAGAGUCCUCAGUCAAAGCCCACUAUAAAAUGUGCACAGUCAACAGGAGUAUAAGUUCAUUAAACACACUAACCACAAAAUUCACAUUCACCUUAAGUACUUUGUUCCUUUCAUCCCUCCUAUGUCCACACUGGUUCUUCCUUUCUGAAGGAGAGUGCCUGAGGUCUUUAUUAUAUUUUUUCCCCUCCAAUAAAGUCUUCCAGGCCAUUUUUCUUUAUCUUUUCCUUCACUUGCUCCACAUUAAUUUUUUCUUCUGCAGUUUUCCAAUCAAUGCAGUAGCUCUGCCGAAACUUUAUUUCCUCCACAGUUCACAAACAGAUCUUUAUCCUCUCCCAGUAUUUUUCCUCCCCCACAAAAAUAUUUUUAUUUCAUUUUAACUUGUGGGGAAAGCCACCUACAGACCCUUCCUGUCGUUGUCCAGUACUGGAGAAAAGUUGUUUUCAACUCUCUCUUGCAGCACUUUUACCCCAAUUGAAUAGUCUGAUGCUUCUCCAGACCCUUACCAAGGUGGGCUUUAGAAAGUCAUCUUACUAGCUCCCUCUUUAUUCAUAGUAAGAGCUCUACUGUUUCUAGUUCUGAGCAGGAUAUAAGCCUGCAGAUUUCUGGCUAGUCUCCAUAUUCAUAGGAACAUGAAAUUUAUGCUCCAAAAUACCUUACUAAGGCGUGUAGUCCCAAAAGCCCAAAGUACUGCUGUUGCGGGGAAAGGCAGAGAAGAAACUCUGCACAAACCACAAGGUUUUGGAUGCUUAUCCAACUUGAAAAAAUCCACAAGACCCAAACUUUAAGUACCUGGGUUUUUGCAAGAGGAAGACAACCUGCCUUUCUAACCAAACAACUUCAGCAUUGUUCUGGAGCAGAGCCCAGCCUCUUGACUUUUUAAUUGGACAAUUCAGGCAAUAUCAGCUUGGCCACAAAGGCUCUGCUGUAGCAGGUUUCAGGACAAGUAUCACUUACAUCAAACUCCUACUUGUUUGUCCUCACCUACUGCCUUUUUCCUCCCAGUGGGCCAGCCUAAGGUCUGGGUGCCCUUAUACCCUGCCAUCAGUACUGGCCAUUGAUCAAUGUUCACAGAAAGCAUACAUGAAAACAGAUUAGUAGAGGAGGGGUGUUUCACCUUCUACAUUCUCCCAGGGAUUUACAUUUAGUGUUUAAUAUGUCAUGCAUCAAGUGGAUUCCCCCACCUGUCAGUUUAUCAAAUUCCUUUUCAAACCAGUUCAUACUUCUAGCCUCCACAGCACAGUAACAAGUGCCACAACUCUUCUAAACCUGCAGCACAACAAAUUUCAUUCAGUGUCCUUGGUUCUUAUUUUACAAAAACCAAAUAACAAUUGCUCUUUAUUCACCCUCUUUGCACCAUUUAUAAUUCAUAUAAAUCUAUCAGCAGCUUUGUCUUAGCUGUCUUCUUACUCAACCUGAAAUCCAAGCAUACUUCACCUGCCUCAUAUGGGCCUCUGUGCCACACCUUCAACCAUCCCUGCUCCAGUG